Molecule: ribosomal RNA, 446 nt
Filed under: uncultured bacterium
Lineage: Bacteria
Description: partial 16S ribosomal RNA
Rfam family: Bacterial small subunit ribosomal RNA
Source: RNAcentral
CCUACGGGAGGCAGCAGUCGAGAAUCAUUCACAAUGGGGGAAACCCUGAUGGUGCGACGCCGCGUGGGGGAAUGAAGGUCUUCGGAUUGUAAACCCCUGUCAUGUGGGAGCAAAUUAAAAAGAUAGUACCACAAGAGGAAGAGACGGCUAACUCUGUGUCAGCAGCCGCGGUAAUACAGAGGUCUCAAGCGUUGUUCGGAAUCACUGGGCGUAAAGCGUGCGUAGGCUGUUUCGUAAGGCGUGUGUGAAAGGCGCGGGCUCAACCCGCGGACGGCACAUGAUACUGCGAGACUAGAGUAAUGGAGGGGGAACCGGAAUUCUCGGUGUAGCAGUGAAAUGCGGAGAUAUCGAGAGGAACACUCGUGGCGAAGGCGGGUUCCUGGACAUUAACUGACGCUGAGGCACGAAGGCCAGGGGAGCGAAAGGGAUUAGAUACCCCUGUAGUC